The sequence is a small nuclear RNA, 186 nucleotides long. Its record names the gene U2. It matches the Rfam family "U2 spliceosomal RNA". Rfam says of the family: U2 is a small nuclear RNA (snRNA) component of the spliceosome (involved in pre-mRNA splicing). Complementary binding between U2 snRNA (in an area lying towards the 5' end but 3' to hairpin I) and the branchpoint sequence (BPS) of the intron results the bulging out of an unpaired adenosine, on the BPS, which initiates a nucleophilic attack at the intronic 5' splice site, thus starting the first of two transesterification reactions that mediate splicing. The record is from Ensembl.
AUAAUUUUGACUGUCACAUAAAAAAAUACUAAAAAAAAUCUCUUCUUAUCAGUUUAAUAUCUGAUACGUCCCCCAGCGGGGGACUACAUAUUAAGCGGAUUUUUAGAACAGGAAGUCUGCAAAGGGGCUUGCUCCAUCCGCUCCACGCAUCGACCCAGUAUUGCAUUGCCUUGUGUUGCAAAUAAA